This 460-nucleotide ribosomal RNA is filed under the name uncultured bacterium. RNAcentral's name for it is "bacterial SSU rRNA". It matches the Rfam family "Bacterial small subunit ribosomal RNA", at positions 30 to 506 of the family's 1533-position model. The record is from RNAcentral.
AUGAACACUGGCAAUACGCCUAACACAUGCAAGUUGAACGUAGUCUUAAUAUUAAAUACUAAGUAGCGUACGGGUGAGUACAACACAGGAAUUAUACUGUUAGUUUGGAAUAAACAUAUUAUCUAGCGAUAAGAAGUUUACCGUAAAAAAUUAAACGUGUUAAUACCGGAUAUAAAAAGAUUAAUCGCUAAUAAAUGAGCUUGUGCGGGAUUAGGUAGGUGGAGAGGUAAAUGCUUACCAAGCCUGUGAUCCUUAGCUGGUCUAAGAGGAAGAUCAGCCACAUAGGGACUGAGACACGGCCCUAACUCUUAUAUAGAGGCAGCAGUGGGGAAUAUUGGACAAUGAGCGAAAGCUUGAUACAGCGAUAUUGCGUGAGGGACGAAGCCUAUAUUGGGUGUAAAGCUCUUUCGUCAAGGAAGAUAAUGACUGUACUUGAAGAAGAAGUCCCGGCUAACUCUGU